AUGAUAUUUACAAUAAAAUAAAUUAAAACUCAUCAAAGCCAAACCCUUGAAAUCUAAAUUAUGUUAGGAUAUGGUGUAAUAGCAUGUUCAGUAACAUAUAUAAUCUAUUUUAUUUAAUUUUUAUUAGAAUAAGACUUUCCAAAUUUAUAUAAUAAUUGCUUGCUAAAGAAUAUUUUUUAAAUUGUAAAAGAUGUAGCAUGAUCUUCGAUAAAGUAACAGAUUGAUCUUUUUAUUAUGUCCCCUUCGAACUGGAGGGAUCAUUAAAAAUUACCCUUGUCAGUCAUCUGUAGUCCUAAAAUUGGUUUCUGUUCUCUAACUUUAGUUUGUCACUACCAAAUGUUAUAAAACUUAUACAUCAUGCUUAUUACCACAAAACACAGAUCAAGUUAGAAAUAUGAUGGCAUCACUUUAACCUUUCUAGAGUUAUGCCCCUUUACAAAUGAAAAAAAUAGUUAUUUUUUGUUGUUGAUGCUCUUUAACUUUAGUUUGCCUCAACCAAAUAUUAUGAAUCUUAAACAUAAUGCUUAUUUCCACAGCACACAGAUUAAGUUUGAAUUUUGGUGGUACUACUUUUACCAAUUGUAUCGGUUGAUCCCCUGUUGCAGAACCUAUAAAAACGGUUUACCUAUAUUGUAUUUUAAUUUAUUGUUAGAUAUAUUCAUUUUAGUCCUGUCCAUGCAUGAAAUAUUUGCCACUGUAUUUUAGGUUGAUAUAAAAUUAAUUUGGUUUAUUUAAUUUUCAAAAAAAUAAAAAAAAUAUUUUCUUUCACCCUUUGACAAAAAUAUGAUAUUUAAAAAAAAAACAGGACCCACACUCUUUUAUGUAAAAAUUUAGUUGGAUGUAUAGCAGCUUAACAAACACAAACUUCCAUCAAUGAGAAGCGUUAUAUUUCUGUAACAACAGAAUGUGAUUUAAACGUACAGCAGAUAUUUACAGAGUUAUCUCCCUUCAGUGUUCUGUACCACCUGAAGCAAAUUUAUAACAAUCAAGUAUAGCUC
Molecule: long non-coding RNA, 998 nt
Filed under: Mytilus galloprovincialis (Mediterranean mussel)
Lineage: Eukaryota; Metazoa; Mollusca; Bivalvia; Mytilida; Mytilidae
Source: RNAcentral